GAAAAAAAAAAGUGAAAACUUCAAGUACCACCCCUGUAAUUUCGCGCUUUUUUAUUUUAGUACCCUAUGAUUUAAAAUGUAUCACUUUUGUACCAUGUGAUAUUAUUUUUUUCUUUCUGUUAUCCCUUAGUUAAUUUUUUCGUUAAAUAGGUGACAAAAUUAAAACCAUAGGGUACUAACGUGAAAAUUCGAUAAACCACGGAAUACUAAAGUGAAUAUUCGAUAAAUCAUAAGUGGGGUAUCUGAAUUUUUUUUCAUAUGAUUUAGUAAAGAGUUAACGGAGGCGCUGACGAAAAGAGAAAAAUAAAAUCACAUGAUACUAAAGUGAUACACUUUAAUCAUAUGAUAGUAAAGUAAAAAAAUGCGAAACUACAGAGGUAGUAAUUGAAGU
RNAcentral lists this long non-coding RNA (391 nucleotides) under Ananas comosus (pineapple). Its description in RNAcentral is "long non-coding RNA (ACOM_LNC016995)". Lineage: Eukaryota; Viridiplantae; Streptophyta; Magnoliopsida; Poales; Bromeliaceae. The record is from RNAcentral.